This 484-nucleotide ribosomal RNA is filed under the name uncultured bacterium. RNAcentral's name for it is "partial 16S ribosomal RNA". It matches the Rfam family "Bacterial small subunit ribosomal RNA", at positions 30 to 507 of the family's 1533-position model. The record is from RNAcentral.
AUUGAACGCUGGCGGCAUGCCUAACACAUGCAAGUCGAGCGGAUGAAGGGAGCUUGCUCCUGGAUUCAGCGGCGGACGGGUGAGUAAUGCCUAGGAAUCUGCCUGGUAGUGGGGGAUAACGUCCUGAAACGGGCGCUAAUACCGCAUACGUCCUGAGGGAGAAAGUGGGGGAUCUUCGGACCUCACGCUAUCAGAGGAGCCUAGGUCGGAUUAGCUAGUUGGUGGGGUAAAGGCCUACCAAGGCGACGAUCCGUAACUGGUCUGAGAGGAUGAUCAGUCACACUGGAACUGAGACACGGUCAAGACUCCUACGGGAGGCAGCAGUGGGGAAUAUUGGACAAUGGGCGAAAGCCUGAUCCAGCCAUGCCGCGUGUGUGAAGAAGGUCUUCGGAUUGUAAAGCACUUUAAGUUGGGAGGAAGGGCAGUAAGUUAAUACCUUGCUGUUUUGACGUUACCAACAGAAUAAGCACCGGCUAACUUCGUG